UGCUUGCUGAGAAGAAAAGAAAAAUGGAGCAAGAAGAAGCUGAGAGAAAUAUGCAAAUAUUGCUAGACUUCUUACUCUACUUACGGAAGCAAAAAGUUGAUGAAUUGAAUGAGGUACGGACUGAUCUCCAAUAUAUUAAGGAGGACAUAGACGCUGUUGAGAGACAUAGAAUUGAGUUAUACCGUGUUAGAGACAGGUAUUCUAUGAAAUUGUGGAUGCUUGGAGAUGAUCCCAAUGUAAGAAAACCAUGGCCUUCAACAUUAGAUAAGAAUAGUGGGGGUGCCAUCAGCAGUUCUUUUAGUGCGAGAG
This 309-nucleotide unclassified non-coding RNA is filed under the name Hevea brasiliensis (rubber tree). Lineage: Eukaryota; Viridiplantae; Streptophyta; Magnoliopsida; Malpighiales; Euphorbiaceae. The record is from RNAcentral.